CCCGAUUUGAUCUGAGCCAUCGAUCCCUUUCAAUCUAAUGACCAGAAUCCGUUCAAGCCAUUUUAAUAAAAACUAACCUAAAAACCCGAACCCCCAAUUUCAUUCCACCACCCCGUCCGCAUAGUCUCCUUCAGAGACCAAACUCCCUCAAACCCUAGACAGCCGCCACCCUUUUCACCGCCCAAAAUCUGGCGGCGUCGACUCCAAUUACCACCAAAUUAACACCCUAGACUCGCCUUCACCUCCCCAUCCCCAAUCACCAACUAGUUUCCUUCGAAACUUACCCAAAUCCUUCGAAUAUUAGAUCAGAAGUUGAACACUGAGUUUCCAAAACCAAAAAUUCGGUGAUCGAUUUUGAAGAUUUGAAGUCGUAAUAGGGUUUAUUCAUGUGUUUUCACGUGAGAACGCAUGAUUAAAACCUAUUUCGACCAAAAUCAAAGGGUGCCAAAGACUUUUUCAAGCCGAGCACUUGCUGUCCAUUUUAGGUAUCCCUCAUUUUUAUUUUUAUUUAUUUAGCUUUCAUGUUUCUUUUCUCCUUUUUCUGCUUCAUCUCAUUGUUCUCGACUUCUUUUGAUAUUUUUGUUUCACGGAUUAAUUUCCCUUCAUGUUAAUUUGUUUCGAUUUGGUAAUUAGUUUUGAUUCGUUAAAUUUAUCAAUUUUAAUUGUUGAGUUAGUUAGUUUGUUGAUAUGUUAGAACACUUUGGAUUUUGCAAUUGAUAACUAAGCUUGUCGUUUGGGAUUGGGUUGUAUCCGAGUCAAUUGAAAAAGAACAACCCGUCUAAAUUGCAUUAGGACAUUAGUUCAGCUUUGACCCUUAACUCAUGUGGGAUUUUAAGGCUAAAUAACAGGGGAUUUAGGGUUUAAUUAUGAAUUGGAAAAUAGAGCUGACAACUUGUUAGACACCUUUAGAGGUGGAAAAUCAGAAUUAACAUGGCCUGUCAGGGCACGCCUAACUUAAAAAUCAUGCUGCCCAUACCCAUUGAAUAGAAUAAUUGGAAAAGGGGUAAUGAGGUACUGAGAGACCUGUUUUAGUAUUUGAAAAUCAGAGAAUGAUGGAGAAAAUGGUUUAUUAAUGGUUAAAAUGCUCUUAAGAGCUGGAAAGGGGAGUUUGGAUAUAAAUAGGGGAGAUUGAUUCAGUUAUUAGACAGAGUUUUGAGAGCUUGAGAAAAACACAAAGGAAGUUUUAGAUAGCAUUUUGAGAGGUAAGGAGAAACAGAACACAAGAGAGGGGAACAUAGAGAGAUCAAAAUUUUUUAAGGCAUUCAGUUUUGAGACAGAGGUUUGAUCGAGUUAAAAAUAGAAGAGAGAUUUAUUUUAAGAGGAAGAACAUUAGACUUUCUAGGCAUACAUACAAAAGCAACAGAAAAUUCAAAAAACAAUUACCAUUCCAUUCAGUUUUCCUAGUUUAAUUUCGAGUUUCAGUAGUUGAUCUUGAUCUUCUAGCCUAGUUUUGAGUUGCUGGAGUUACUUCUGAGAUCAAUUGGUCCAGUUUUUGGUGUGUUCGAAUUGUGUUGGUCAUUUUGAGCUAUAUUUGGUUGGUUCAGUUAGCUCCUGGGUCUAUUUGUUGGUGCCUUUCAAGCUGAAAUAGCUGUGGUUGUCUUUUGCUGCUUGAAACUGCAUCUCACGUUGCUGCGACCUCCCUUUUCCUCAUCGCUUUUGUUUAUCAACUUCCAGGUACACAUCUCAGGAUUGUUUCAAUUUAGUACUUCUUAUUGAAAGUGAAAUGAAAAUGAAGACCUGUCUCUGCUAUAGAUAUGUUAUCUUAAUAAUUCUGUUAUCCAUUAGAUAAUUUUCUGUGAUUUGGUUGUUUAAACAUUGUAAUUAAACUUGGAAUGUAUAAAUGGACUGAAGACUGUUUCAUAUUAUCUAGACUGUUACUUAUUAUGUCUCAAAUGCAUAUGAACUUUUGAGUUUGAGUAUUAAUUGCAAUUAGUUUCAUGUUAGGUUAAUGAAAUAGUUUGGAGUAUUUUAGUUUGGCAUUAGUUUCGUGAAUUUGUUUAAAA
RNAcentral lists this long non-coding RNA (2003 nucleotides) under Nicotiana benthamiana. RNAcentral describes it as "long non-coding RNA (NBEN_LNC032433)". Lineage: Eukaryota; Viridiplantae; Streptophyta; Magnoliopsida; Solanales; Solanaceae. The record is from RNAcentral.